CCACAACCUGUUAGGAAGACUGAGCUUCAAUCCGAUGCCGUGUAGAGUUGCAGAGGGCCCUGCUGGCGUCUAGCUCCAUGCUACACACCAGGGAAUGAAGGAAUGCAUCACCCACAGCCCCACCUUCCUGUCCCUCCAACUCCCUGUUCACAGUGUUGCCCAGGUUGGUUUUGAACUCCUGGGCUCAAGUGAUCCACCCGCCUCAGCCUUUCUAAGACCUGGGAUUACAGGUGUGAGCCACCACACUUGGCCGAGACUUUUUUUUUUUUUGGUGAGAUAGGGUUGUCUCCUCCGUCACCCAGGCUGGAGUGCAAUGGUGACAUCUUGGCUUACUGCAACCUCCACCUCUGGUUCAUCUCCUGCCUCAGCCUUCCAAGUCCCGAGUAGCUGGGAUUACAGGCGUGUGCCACCACGCCCAGCUAAUUUUUGUAUUUUUAGUACAGAUGGGCUUCCACUGUGUUGGCCAGGCUGGUCUCAAACUCCUGACCUCAGGUGAUCUGCCCCCCUCGGCUUCCCAAAGUGCUGCGUGUGCCACAUCGCCUGGCCUGGGUGUGACUUUCUGAGCAGAGGUGCGGAUUUGUCCUCCUGCCCUCCUCUGGCUUAUCUCUGAGGGAAGGAGGAAUGGCUCUUGUCCUCUCACUGAGCACGUUACCCCCCACAAGUUAUUCAAGCUCUGAUCUCAGGUUGCUCAUCUGUAAAAUGAGUUAACAAAAUUGUCUACCUUGGCUGGGUGAGGUGGCUCACGCCGGUAAUCCCAGCACUUUGGGAGGCUGAGGCAGGUGGAUCACCUAAGGUCAGGAGUUCAGAGACCAGCCUGACCAAUAUGGUGAAACCCUGUCUCUACUACAAACACAAAAUUAGCCAGGCACAGUGGCACAUGCCUGUAAUCCCUGCCACUCGGGAGGUGGAGGUUGUGGUGAGCCGAGAUCGUGCCAUUGCACUCCAGCCUGGGUAACAAGAGUGAAACUGUGUUUCAAAAAAACAAAAAAAAGUGUCUACCUUUCAGGGCUUCCAUGAAUAACAUGAUGUCCAGAAAGGCGACAGCACAGACCCUGGCACGCAGCAAGCUGGGCCACUGUGCUACGCAAUACCAUCACUUCUACUUCACUGCCACGAGGCUCCUCAGUGUCCACAAAAGCUCGUCUGCCCUGUGCCCAGCCUGGCUGCCAAGUGAGAAAGCAGAAGCAGGGCACAGACGAGACACUUGGCACAGAGGGCGUUUUCACCCUGCUUCAACAUUUAGCAAAUGCUCUGCUUCCAGAAAAUGCAGCUGGGGGCCUGCCUGCAACAUCCGAUCUCCCAAGCACUCCUCCGGAGACUUUUUUUUUCUGAGGAGAGUUUCACUUUUGUCACUCAGGCUGGAGUGCAGUGGCACGAUCUCAGCUCACCGCAACCUCUGCCUCCUGGGUUCAAGCAGUUUUUCUGCCUCAGCCUCCCGAGUAGCUGGGAUUACAGGCAUGCGCCACCACGCCUGGAUAAUUUUUGUAUUUUUAAGAGAGACAGGGUUUCACCAUGUUGGUCAGGCUGGUCUCAAACUCCUGACCUUAAGUGAUCCACCUACCUUGGCCUCCCUUAGUGCUGGGUUACAGGUGUGAGCCACUGCACCCAGCCUUUCCUGAGGCUCUUAAAUCCCCCUGGAGUGGUGGAGAAGAGGAUGAUAUUCUUACUGAACCCCACUGUCUUCCCUGGUCCCCAGCUCCUGUGCUCCCUGGAUAACACUCCACCCAUCUUGCAGGUACUGUGAGGAUCUGGCUCAUUAGAUUGCAGUGGCUACUUUUUUUUUUUUUAAAGACUAGCCAAGUGCAGCAGUGAGAAGCGGGGAAAGAGUAGAACAAGGAGUUUGAUAUGUAACUGACUGUCAACAAUCAGUGGAGGUAACUCACUACCUUCAGACCAGCCAGCUUCAGCUUCUUAAGAGUCAGGGUCUUGCUCUGCAGCUCAGGCUGGAGUGCAGUGGUACAACCAUAGCUCACUGAUCACUCCAACUCCUGGGCCUGAGCGAUCCUCCCACCUCAGCCUCCUGAGGAGGUGGGACAACAGGCGCUCUGCCGCACACCGGAGCAGCUUCCUAAUGAGGACCUCUGAAGGACUGCCUCCUUGUUCUUAGCAUUAGAAAUCAGGGGCUUCAGCAGAACAAGUGAAAUGGCAUGGCGGCUGCUGCAAAGCCUGGAGUCCAACGUAUGGUCUGUGUCCUGCAAGCUACGUCUUUACAAUACGUGCCACUCCUGGCUCUGUAAUUUUCCUGUCACUCACUUUUUCUUAUUUUUAACAGAUAAUCCUUGUAGUGUUGCUUGCACAUCUGUUAAGUGGCCACUGAAUCCCUUCUGGAACUAGGCAGGGAGAAAAUCAAUAGACUGACUGAUAUAACACAGAAUGAAAUGAUCAUCGCUGCCUUUCACUGAGUGCUUCCUAUGUGCUACGGAUGACCCUAGACAUUGUCUUUUUAAGAUGGAGUUUCACUCAUCACCCAGGCUGCUGUGCAAUGACACGAUCUUGGCUCACUGCAACCUCUGCCUCCCAGGCGCCAGUGGGUCUCCUGCCUCAGCCUCCGGAGUAGCUGGGAUUACAGGCAUGCACCACUACCACCUGGCUAAUUUUUGUAUUUUUAGCAGAGAUGAGGUUUUACCAUGUUGGGCAGGCUGGUCUUGAAUUCCUGACCUCAAAUGAUCCACCUGUCUUAGCCUCCCAAAGUGCUGGGGUUACAUGUGAGCCACCGUGCCAGGCCUCUUACUGUUAAAGAUUUUUAAAAAAAACUGAACUAUGACAUAUAGGUAGAAAAGUACACACAUCACAGCUUGAUGAAAAGUCUACAGCCUGAAUGCAUCCAGCUCCCAGAUGAAGAAAUGAAACAUUCCCAAGUCCUCAGAAGCCCCCCUCGCUCCCUCCAGCCUCUCCUGGCCCCGAGGGUCACUGCUGCCCUGACUGACACUGUGGAUUUGCUGGAUCUACUUGUGCUUCAUGUUUAAGAACUCCUACGGUCCAGGCUUUCUUGGUGUCAGAUUUCCUUUCCUUAAUAUUAUGUUUGCCUUACCUGAUCUUCAGAAGACGAUACUUUCGCCAGGUGUGGUGGCUCACAUGGAUCACACCUGUGAUCCCAGCACUUUGGGAGGCCAAGGCAGGCAGAUCACCUGAGGUCAGGAGAUUGAGACCAGCCUGGCCAACAUGGGAAAACCUUGUCUCUACUGAAAAUACAAAAAUGAGCCAGGCCUAAUGGAGGGCGCCUAAAAUUUCAGCUACUGGGGAGUCUGAGGCAGGAGAACAGCUUGAAUCCAGGAGGCGAAGGUUGCAGUGAGCCGAGAUCAUGCCACUGUACUAAAAAAAAAAACCUCCAAAAAACAAAAAAACACGAAUACAUAAAAACAAAAACAUGACUUUGACUUAGAUAUCUGGCCCUAAAUGAAGCAAUCAGCAUGUUUCUCCCAGAGUCUGAAUUUAAUCUGAAUUUUAUCAAAGGGCUGCGCUGUUAGAACCCACCGGCACUGCAUGUUAGCCUCACACCCUGGGCAAGAGGGGAGCUGUAGGGAACGGUGCUGUCUAAUGAGGUGUUCAUGGUGGGAGGAGACCUCCCUCUCAUGCAAGGUCCCUUUGGCUGGAUGCUCUGAGACCCUGCUCUCAGCAAUGCUGUAUAAAAAUACAGCUUUUUAUUUUUAUUUUUCAUAUUUUAGAGACAGAUUCUUGCUCCAUCAUCCAGGCUGGAGGGCUCUCUGCAGCCUUGAACUCCUGGGCUCAAGCGAUUCUCCUGCCUCAGCCUCCCAAGUAGCUGAGGACUUCAGAUGCACAUCACUGAGGUAAGAGGCAAGAACAGUGCAUCUGAAAUCUAUCCAGACUGAGCCGGGGUCAACCCUGUCCCAGCUGCGGGGUCUGAGCAGGGCUGAGCGCAGCGCCAGGCCUGGGAACUUACUGCAGGGUGAUGCUGACGUUGGUUGAGCUCCCAUUUUCCAGCUUUACAACGGGAGGAACAGUGAGGCUGACAGUUGACUCUGGAAGGACCAAAAUCAAUAACAUGAGGCGCCAGGUCAGAGCUCGGUCCACGACAGGACACUGGGCCGAAACCCCCGACAUGUGAACUCCUGAGCACUGACUCCCUGACGAGCCCUAUUCUGCGAUGGGCUGGCAAACACGGGCCCUGGUGAGGUUCUUUCCCCACCUGCUGCCAGAGGCAGAGGCAGAGGCACUCCAGCCUGGGCAACAGUGAGACUCUGUCCCAAAAAAAAAAAUGAUUUUUGUAGAGAUGGGGUCUCAGUAUGUCGCUCAGGCUGGUGUCAAACUCCUGUGCCCAAGCGAUCAUCCCUCUCUGGCCUCCCAAAGUAUUGGGAUUACAGUGUGAGCAAAUGCCAGGGCCUCCUCCCCUCCCUGCAAGGACAGGCUCUGAGAGUCUUCGGCUGAGUUACUCAGAGAUUGUUAGAGAACAUGGAGCCCAAAAAUCACCACAAAGGAAUCCACGCAUGAUCUGGAAUGCAAAAGGCAGCCCUGAACCACCUCUUCAGAUGGAAAGCGCAGCACCUCCUCUGUUCAUGGCGUCAAAAUGGCCCUGAAGAACGGGACCAGCCCCUUUCCUGCACGAACAGACACACAGGGGCCCAGCUAAUGAGUUUCUAAAGAACCCUCUGGGCUCCCUGACUCGCCCAGCUCCCUGGCUCUGGUCCCUUCCUAAGGCUAUCUGUGCAGGGGCUGGAAAAGGAAGGGUGAAUAGCUGUUUCAGUCUCAGAUUUCUCCUCGGCUUUAAGGUGUUAUCUCAGAAUAAAGAUGACAAACCGGCCCCUGGAUGAGGGGGAA
Long non-coding RNA from Callithrix jacchus (white-tufted-ear marmoset), 4776 nucleotides. RefSeq lists it as uncharacterized. The record is from RefSeq and is a predicted model, not a curated record. Lineage: Eukaryota; Metazoa; Chordata; Mammalia; Primates; Cebidae.